This 484-nucleotide ribosomal RNA is filed under the name uncultured bacterium. RNAcentral's name for it is "partial 16S ribosomal RNA". It matches the Rfam family "Bacterial small subunit ribosomal RNA", at positions 30 to 507 of the family's 1533-position model. The record is from RNAcentral.
AUUGAACGCUGGCGGCAGGCCUAACACAUGCGAGUCGAGCGGAUGAAUGGAGCUUUCUCCUGUAUUCAGCUUCGGACGGGUGAGUAAUUCCUAUGAAUCUGCCUGGUAUUGGUUUAUAACGUCCGUAAACCGGCGCUAAUACCGCAUACGUCCUGAUGGUGAAAGUUGUUGAUCUUCGGACCUCACGCUAUCACAUGAGCCUAGGUCGGAUUAGCUAGUUGGUGUGGUAAAGGCCUACCAAGGCGACGAUCCGUAACUGGUCUGAGAGGAUGAUCAGUCACACUGGAACUGAGACACGGUCCAGACUCCUACGGGAGGCAGCAGUGGGGAAUAUUGGACAAUGGGCGAAAGCCUGAUCCAGCAAUGCCGCGUGUGUGAAGAAGGUCUUCGGAUUGUAAAGCACUUUAAGUUGGGAGGAAGGGAAGUAAGUUAAUACCUUGCUGUUAUGACGGUACCAACAGAAUAAGCACCGGCUAACUUCGUG